UUGGCUGGGGGCGGCACAUCUGUAAAACCAUAACGCAGGUGUCCUCCAGGGGACUCAUGGCAGAACAGAAACCUCCAGUAGAACCAGAAGGGCAAAAGUCCCCUUUUGGUUCUGAUUUUCAGUGUGAAUCUCCGUACAAAGAAUGACAGUCCCUCAAAAUUGGAGGC
Molecule: non-coding RNA, 167 nt
Filed under: Cladophialophora carrionii
Lineage: Eukaryota; Fungi; Ascomycota; Eurotiomycetes; Chaetothyriales; Herpotrichiellaceae
Description: Eukaryotic large subunit ribosomal RNA
Rfam family: Eukaryotic large subunit ribosomal RNA
Source: Rfam by way of RNAcentral